AUGAACGCUAGCUACAGGCUUAACACAUGCAAGUCGAGGGGAAACGAUGAGAGAGCUUGCUCUCUUAGUCGUCGACCGGCGCACGGGUGAGUAACGCGUAUCCAACCUGCCUCUGACCAAGGGAUAACCCGUCGAAAGUCGGACUAAUACCUUAUGCAGUCGUCGGAAGUCAUCUGAUGACGACGAAAGAUUUCAUCGGUGAGAGAUGGGGAUGCGUCUGAUUAGCUUGUUGGCGGGGUAACGGCCCACCAAGGCGACGAUCAGUAGGGGUUCUGAGAGGAAGGUCCCCCACAUUGGAACUGAGACACGGUCCAAACUCCUACGGGAGGCAGCAGUGAGGAAUAUUGAUCAAUGGGCGUAAGCCUGAACCAGCCAAGUAGCGUGCAGGAUGACGGCCCUAUGGGUUGUAAACUGCUUUUAGGCGGGGAUAAAGUGAGGGACGUGUCCUUCAUUGCAGGUACCGCAUGAAUAAGGACCGGCUAAUUCCGUG
This 490-nucleotide ribosomal RNA is filed under the name uncultured bacterium. RNAcentral describes it as "partial 16S ribosomal RNA". It matches the Rfam family "Bacterial small subunit ribosomal RNA", at positions 29 to 507 of the family's 1533-position model. The record is from RNAcentral.